UGNUCUGUCACUGACGCUGAGGCUNGAAAGCGUGGGUAGCGAACAGGGUUAGAUACCCUGGUAGUNCACGCCGUAAACGAUGAGUGCUAGGUGUUAGGUCCUUUCCGGGACUUAGUGCCGCAGCUAACGCAAUAAGCACUCCGCCUGGGGAGUACGACCGCAAGGUUGAAACUCAAAGGAAUUGACGGGGGCCCGCACAAGCGGUGGAGCAUGUGGUUUAAUUCGAAGCAACGCGAAGANCCUUACCAGGUCUUGACAUCCCGAUGCCCGCUCUAGAGAUAGAGUUUUUCUUCGGAACAUCGGAGACAGGUGGUGCAUGGUUGUCGUCAGCUCGUGUCGUGAGAUGUUGGGUUAAGUCCCGCAACGAGCGCAACCCUUAUUGUUAGUUGCCAUCAUUGAGUUGGGCACUCUAGCGAGACUGCCGGUAAUAAACCGGAGGAAGGUGGGGAUGACGUCAAAUCAUCAUGCCCCUUAUGACCUGGGCUACACACGUGCUAUAAUGGUUGGUACAACGAGUCGCAAGCCGGUGACGGCAAGCUAAUCUCUGAAAGCCAAUCUCAGUUCGGAUUGUAGGCUGCAACUCGCCUACAUGAAGUCGGAAUCGCUAGUAAUCGCGGAUCAGCACGCCGCGGUGAAUACGUUCCCGGGCCUUGUACACACCGCCCGUCACACCACG
RNAcentral lists this ribosomal RNA (676 nucleotides) under uncultured bacterium. RNAcentral describes it as "bacterial SSU rRNA". It matches the Rfam family "Bacterial small subunit ribosomal RNA", at positions 730 to 1406 of the family's 1533-position model. The record is from RNAcentral.